GAGAGAAAGAAAGAACUCAUUUGCACCGUUUCCCCUCAUGGCUCCGAAAAAGAAGCAACAGAGGGCGAGCAACAAGGCGGCGUCCAAAGCGAAGCUUCAAUCGGCCGACGCCAAGCCCGCUCCCAAGCUUCAGAUCUCCGCAGAGAAUGAGCGCCGUCUCCGCCGCCUCCUUUUGAACACCGAGAGGCCGGCAGCUGCGGAGGGGCCGUCCCUGGCCGCCGCAGAUGCUGCUUCAAGGACGCAGAAGGCGAAGAGGCUUCGCGGUGUCUAUGAUAAGCUAUCUCUAGAGGGAUUCUCCGCGGAUCAAAUCGAACAGGCUCUCUCCGCCCUCGGAGAGGGAGCAACAUUUGAGGGUGCUUUGGAUUGGUUAUGUUUUAAUCUUCCUGGAAAUCAGCUUCCAAUGAAAUUCUCCAGUGGUGCCUCUACAUCUAAUCUUGAAGGGACAGAAAGGUCGGUGAAGAUAAUAUCUGCAGCUCGGGAAGAUUGGGUUCCACAGCAACGUCAGCCAGAAAGUAUACCUAAAUCUUUACUUGAAAUUAAGGUGAAGCGGGAUGAGUUAUCUCUUGAUAUAGGAAAAUCUUCGCAUAAGGAAUGGAUACAACAGUACUUGGAGCGAGAAGAAGAGGAGGAUGAGCUAAACUCUCAAGCAGCCUCUCUUGAGUAUCAUCAGGCUGGGUUGGGAGAUGUAGAAGCAAAGCAGAAAGGAGACGAGAAAAGCUUCCAUGAUGAGAUUUUGUUGUCUGGCUUACAAGAAGAAUCUACUACUAAAAUGACCGAGGAGAUUGCAUGUAAUUCUGCAUUUACCAUAUCUUUAGAGUUGAAAGCUUCAGAUGAUCAACAGAAUCCGGGGCAGAGCAAGGUAGUUAAUUUAGAGGCAGAUGAAGCUGAUCACUUUAAAGCAGUUGAUUCUUCUGUUAGUCUUUUGGAAGGCCAUGUGAAUGAAACUGAUAAAAAAACCGAGGAAGUAGAAGAAUUGGAACUUGAUAAUCUCUUUUCUGAAGAUUGUUCUUCUAGCAUUACGUUACCUGCAGAAAUAUCGACACAAAAAAAUAAAAAGAGUUUGUCACAAUUUGCAUUCAGGUAUAAUCUUGGAAGCAUUGAUGACAUAUGGAUGAAGGGAGACACUGGGAAAAUCCCAAAGGCUGUUUUACAGAAGCUGUGCCAGAAACUAGGUUGGGAACCGCCCAAAUACAGUAAAUUGUCUGGAAAAGAAGAUAAGUUCCUGUAUGCUGUGAGUAUCUUACGUUCGGCAAGUGGCCGAGGUAAGAGCCGGAAUGCUGGAGGCUUGAUUUCUAUUCAGUUACCCAAUGGUGGCGAAUCUUUCAAAUCUGUUGAGGAUGCGCAAAAUAAAGUAGCAUCGUAUGCCCUUUGUCAACUUUUUCCUGAACUUCCGCUUUGCCAAAUGCUCAUGGAACCAUACUCUUCGUUUGUUUCGAUGUGGCACAAUGAUGAACUUCCAGCCAACCUAGUUGAGAAUGAGGAUGCCCGUCGAGCAGGCUUUGUGGAUUCAUUGUUGAAUGCAGAUUCUUCGCUACCAAUGUCUUCUGUUGAUGUCAAAAGAAUUUCUGUUGGUGAAAAGUUAGUAAAAGCGGAAAAUCUAGAAGUAACUAUUGACUGUCCUAUUGAAACUGCAAAAGUAAUACCAUCAGGAGCUAGUUAUCCUGAACAACGGGAAAGCAUCUUUUUGAAAAAAGAACUUGAGAAUAAAAUGAAGCAACCCGAGUACAUGAAAAUUCUGGAAGCUAGAGAUUCUUUACCUAUAUCUAAGCUGAAGAGUAAUAUUCUACAAUUGCUAGUUGAGAAUGAUGUGAUUGUUGUUUGUGGGGAAACAGGUUGUGGAAAAACAACACAGGUUCCUCAAUUCAUUUUGGAUGACAUGAUCCAAUCAGGUCUCGGUGGAUACUGUAACAUAGUGUGCACACAACCCAGAAGAUUAGCGGCUAUCUCUGUGGCAGAAAGAGUGUCAGAUGAGCGAUGUGAGCCUUCACCUGGUUGUGACGGUUCAUUGGUUGGUUAUCAAGUACGCCUUGACGUUGCAAGGAAUGAGAAGACAAAACUUUUGUUUUGUACAACAGGAAUCCUUCUCAGGAAGCUGGCUGUAAAUAAAGACUUGGCUGGUAUCACACAUGUGAUAGUUGAUGAAGUUCAUGAACGAUCACUUUUGGGUGACUUUUUACUCAUUGUUCUCAAAAACCUUAUUGAGAAGCAAUCUGAUACUGCCAGGCAAAAGUUAAAAGUGGUUCUCAUGUCUGCAACAGUUGAUUCAAGUUUGUUCUCAAGGUACUUCGGGAAUUGCCCUGUGAUUAGUGCAGAAGGAAGAACACAUCCAGUAUCAACUUACUUUCUUGAGGAUGUUUACGAAAGGCUUGACUAUUGUCUUGCUUUGGAUGCUGCAGCAUCAGGAACAUCCAUGACUGGAUAUAGAGGAAAACUUAAGGGCAGUAUUGUGGAUAAUCACAGAGGAAAGAAGAAUAUAGUUUUAUCUUCAUGGGGUGACGAGUCACUACUUUCUGAAGACUAUGUUAAUCCCCAUUAUAUCCCAGAUCAAUAUGCGUCAUACAGUGACCGAACACGGCAAAAUCUGAAGCGUUUAAAUGAGGAUGUGAUUGACUUUGACCUUCUUGAAGAUUUGAUAUGCUUUAUUGAUGAAAAUUAUCCACCGGGUGCUAUUCUUGUCUUUCUUCCAGGAGUUGCAGAAAUUGACUUGCUAGUUGACAAGUUAACUGCUUCCUAUCAAUUUGGAGGAAUAUUAUUGGAUUGGAUUCUUCCUCUGCAUUCAUCUCUUUCAGCUUUUGAACAAAAAAAGGUGUUUUUGACCCCACCUCAGAAUAUCCGCAAGGUCAUUGUUGCUACAGAUAUUGCGGAGACCAGUAUAACAAUUGAUGACGUGAUUUAUGUGGUUGAUGCUGGAAAGCACAAAGAGAAACGUUACAAUGCUCAAAAGAAAAUGUCAAGCAUGGUAGAGGAUUGGAUAUCUAAGGCUAAUGCAAAGCAACGUCGAGGGAGAGCUGGACGUGUGAAACCUGGUAUCUGUUUCUGCUUGUACACAUGCCACAGAUAUGAAGUGCUCAUGCGGCCAUUUCAGGUACCUGAGAUGGUGAGGAUGCCAUUGACAGAAUUAUGUCUCCAAAUAAAAUCCCUUUCACUGGGAGAUACAAAAUCCUUCUUAUUGCAGGCUAUAGAACCUCCACGUGAAGAUGUAAUUUCUUCUGCAAUUGAUUUGCUGUAUAAGGUUGGAGCCUUAGAUGGAAAUGAGGAAUUGUCACCUCUUGGAUAUCAUUUGGCAAAGUUACCCGUGGAUGUGUUGAUCGGAAAGAUGAUGUUAUAUGGUGCAAUAUUUGGUUGUUUAUCACCAAUUCUUUCACUUGCAGCAUUUUUAAGUUAUAAGUUUCCAUUUGUGUAUCCGAAAGAUGAGAAACAAAAUGUAGAGAGAGCAAAAUCAGCAUUAUUAGGUAAUAGCCUGAAUAAUGAAUCUGCUUACGAGGAAAGUUAUAAACAAUCAGAUCACCUCUUGAUGGUUGUUGCCUAUAACAAGUGGGCCAGAAUUUUGCAUCAGGAUGGCACAAGAUCUGCUCAACAAUUUUGUCGUUCUUUUUUCUUGAACAGUUCAGUAAUGUACACGAUAAGGGACAUGCGUGUACAAUUUGGAGGUCUGUUAGCAGACAUUGGACUUGUUGAUCUGCCAAAGCAUCUCCUGAGUUAUGAAAGAAGGAAAGACAAACUUGACAGUUGGUUUUCUGACAUGUCUCAACCAUUCAACCUGAAUGCAAAUCAUCCAUCAAUCAUUAAGUCAAUAAUAUGUGCAGGUCUAUAUCCAAAUGUUGCUGCAACCACAGAAGGUAUUGUUAAUUCAGCUUUAGCAGGGACUACAUUACUAGCCAGUGGCCUUCCUCUGAAGGAUCAAACAGUAUUAUAUGAUGGAAAGAGAGAAGUUCACAUACAUCCUUCUUCUGUGAACCACAACGUGAAACAUUUUAGAUAUCCAUUUCUUGUCUUCCUUGAAAAGGUUGAGACCAGCAAGGUUUUUCUACGUGACAGUAGCAUCAUCUCUCCAUACUCUCUUUUUUUAUUUGGGGGCUCCAUGUCUAUCCAGCAUCAGGCAGGGUUGAUCACUAUAGAUGGCUGGUUAAAAUUGACUGCUCCUGCACAGACGGCUGUUCUGUUUAAGGAACUACGCUUAACACUUCAUGCUGUUUUGAAGGAACUUAUCAGAAAACCAGAGACAGCUACAUUCUCAAAAAAUGAAGUGGUGAAAUCAAUUGUUCAGUUGUUGCUGGAGGAAGAUAAAGACCAAACGUCUUUAAAAUGAGGCAUGUCCUUAUGCUCCCAACACUUGAACAAUCACCAAGUAUUCUUGAUAAGAUCCUUAGAUUCAGAGUUGGUUCUUCUGAAGAACACAAGUUUAUUGCUUCCAUAGCUUCCAACUGAAUGGUAUUAUAGAAUCAUCCAAGAUAUGAAAGUAGAUCACCAAUCUCUCCGAAAUCUUCUGAGAAGGAAACCAUGGUUUCUGAGGGACAUUCCUGGUAAAAGUGGGCAUGCCAAUACUGGCAUCGGAUGAUAAACAAGUGGUGGAACAAUGAAACCUGGGCAAGACUCAAGGAACUUGACUCAGGCUACUCAUUUCAACGGCUAGAGUUCAGGAUCAAACAUAUUACACAGCUAACAAUCUAAAGAAGCUAGCUCCCUUGGCUUUCUUGGCAAGCUUAUUAUGGAAGACAUCCGGAUUAUAUGGUGAACAACUUCGACAUGUGGCCUAGUUCAACAUUUGCCAUAGAACAGGCUCUCUUAUUACACAUGUAGAACCUGUGCUAUUCGAUACAUUUUCUCCUAUUAAGUUGAACCUUGCUGUGCGUCUUUCUCAAGUUCUGAAAACUGCUAUAAAUUGUUGGUUAGCACAAUUUGUGGAUUGCUAACCACAACAAAUGCUUGAACUACUAUUCGAAAUAUAGAUUUUCAGUUGAAUUUUCUGGUUCA
Molecule: RNA transcript, 4974 nt
Organism: Musa acuminata AAA Group (dessert banana)
Lineage: Eukaryota; Viridiplantae; Streptophyta; Magnoliopsida; Zingiberales; Musaceae
Gene name: DExH-box ATP-dependent RNA helicase DExH7, chloroplastic
Exons: 35
Source: RefSeq, a predicted model, not a curated record